CCAGGGGCCAUUUCUGUUAUUGCAUCCAGAGGAUUAUGGAAAAGCCAGAGGUACAUCUUUGCAGGAGAGAUUCCCAAGCAAAGAAUGAGGAAGAAAGGCAUGACGUCAAAGGCAAAGCACUCCGGUGUUACUUUCCAGCUUCACUGAGGCCAGAUUGAAACUAAAAGUGGCUGUUGACACCCUGGUUGACAUCUGUUAUCAGACUACGGGUUCAAGGGAGACUCUUGGCCACAGUAUCUAGUGCCCUGGACCACUUGGUCAUUAUUGUACAGAAG
This 275-nucleotide long non-coding RNA is filed under the name Phascolarctos cinereus (koala). RNAcentral's name for it is "lncRNA (ENSPCIG00000021426.2)". The record is from RNAcentral. Lineage: Eukaryota; Metazoa; Chordata; Mammalia; Diprotodontia; Phascolarctidae.